UCCUCGGGUUCCCUAGUACGGCGAGUGAGCGGGAAGAGCUCAAAUUUGAAAUCUGGUAGCCUUCGGCUGCCCGAGUUGUAAUCUAGAGAAGUGUUUUCCGUGCCGGCCCAUGUACAAGUCCCUUGGAACAGGGCGUCAUAGAGGGUGAGAAUCCCGUCCUUGACAUGGACCCCCGGUGCUUUGUGAUACACUUUCAACGAGUCGAGUUGUUUGGGAAUGCAGCUCAAAAUGGGUGGUGAAUUCCAUCUAAAGCUAAAUAUUGGCGAGAGACCGAUAGCGAACAAGUACCGUGAGGGAAAGAUGAAAAGCACUUUGGAAAGAGAGUUAAACAGUACGUGAAAUUGUUGAAAGGGAAACGAUUGAAGUCAGUCAUGCUCUUUGGAUUCAGCCGUUCUGCGGUGUAUUUCCAUUGAGUGGGGUCAACAUCAGUUUUGACCGCUGGAUAAAGGCACUAGGAAGGUAGCACUCUCGGGUGAACUUAUAGCCUAGCGUCAUAUACAGUGGUUGGGACUGAGGAACGCAGCAUGCCUUUAUGGCCGGGAUUCGUCCACGUACAUGCUUAGGAUGUUGACAUAAUGGCUUUAAACGACCCGUCUUGAAAACACGGGACACCAA
Molecule: ribosomal RNA, 615 nt
Filed under: Naganishia uzbekistanensis
Lineage: Eukaryota; Fungi; Basidiomycota; Tremellomycetes; Filobasidiales; Filobasidiaceae
Description: eukaryotic LSU rRNA
Rfam family: Eukaryotic large subunit ribosomal RNA
Source: RNAcentral